CGCGGCCUAUCAGCUUGUUGGUGAGGUAAUGGCUCACCAAGGCGACGACGGGUAGCCGGCCUGAGAGGGUGACCGGCCACACUGGGACUGAGACACGGCCCAGACUCCUACGGGAGGCAGCAGUGGGGAAUAUUGCACAAUGGGCGCAAGCCUGAUGCAGCAACGCCGCGUGAGGGAUGACGGCCUUCGGGUUGUAAACCUCUUUUAGUAGGGAAGGAGCGAAAGUGACGGUACCUGCAGAAAAAGCACCGGCUAACUACGUGCCAGCAGCCGCGGUAAUACGUAGGGUGCAAGCGUUGUCCGGAAUUAUUGGGCGUAAAGAGCUCGUAGGCGGCUUGUCGCGUCUGCUGUGAAAACCCGAGGCUCAACCUCGGGCCUGCAGUGGGUACGGGCAGGCUAGAGUGCGGUAGGGGAGAUUGGAAUUCCUGGUGUAGCGGUGGAAUGCGCAGAUAUCAGGAGGAACACCGAUGGCGAAGGCAGAUCUCUGGGCCGUAACUGACGCUGAGGAGCGAAAGCAUGGGGAGCGAACAGGAUUAGAUACCCUGGUAGUCCAUGCCGUAAACGUUGGGAACUAGAUGUAGGGCCUGUUCCACGGGUUCUGUGUCGUAGCUAACGCAUUAAGUUCCCCGCCUGGGGAGUACGG
Molecule: ribosomal RNA, 643 nt
Filed under: uncultured bacterium
Lineage: Bacteria
Description: bacterial SSU rRNA
Rfam family: Bacterial small subunit ribosomal RNA
Source: RNAcentral